AGUGAACGCUGGCGGUAGGCCUAACACAUGCAAGUCGAACGGCAGCACAGUAAGAGCUUGCUCUUACGGGUGGCGAGUGGCGGACGGGUGAGGAAUACAUCGGAAUCUACUUUUUCGUGGGGGAUAACGUAGGGAAACUUACGCUAAUACCGCAUACGACCUACGGGUGAAAGCAGGGGAUCUUCGGACCUUGCGCGAUUGAAUGAGCCGAUGUCGGAUUAGCUAGUUGGCGGGGUAAAGGCCCACCAAGGCGACGAUCCGUAGCUGGUCUGAGAGGAUGAUCGGCCACACUGGAACUGAGACACGGUCCAGACUCCUACGGGAGGCAGCAGUGGGGUAUAUUGGACAAUGGGCGCAAGCCUGAUCCAGCCAUACCGCGUGGGUGAAGAAGGCCUUCGGGUUGUAAAGCCCUUUUGUUGGGAAAGAAAAGCAGCAGGUUAAUACCCCGCUGUUCUGACGGUACCCAAAGAAUAAGCACCGGCUAACUUCGUG
RNAcentral lists this ribosomal RNA (492 nucleotides) under uncultured bacterium. RNAcentral describes it as "partial 16S ribosomal RNA". It matches the Rfam family "Bacterial small subunit ribosomal RNA", at positions 29 to 507 of the family's 1533-position model. The record is from RNAcentral.